ACUAUUUUGGCAGAUAAGUGUAUUAGAUUUAGAAUCUAAAAAUGUGGGUUAAUCCCGUAGAUAGUA
RNAcentral lists this transfer RNA (66 nucleotides) under Caenis sp. JYZ-2018. RNAcentral describes it as "tRNA-Leu". It matches the Rfam family "tRNA". Rfam says of the family: Transfer RNA (tRNA) molecules are approximately 80 nucleotides in length. Lineage: Eukaryota; Metazoa; Arthropoda; Insecta; Ephemeroptera; Caenidae. The record is from RNAcentral.